UUGGUCAUUUAGAGGAAGUAAAAGUCGUAACAAGGUCUCCGUUGGUGAACCAGCGGAGGGAUCAUUACCGAGUUUACAACUCCCAAACCCCUGUGAACAUACCAAUUGUUGCCUCGGCGGAUCAGCCCGCUCCCGGUAAAACGGGACGGCCCGCCAGAGGACCCCUAAACUCUGUUUCUAUAUGUAACUUCUGAGUAAAACCAUAAAUAAAUCAAAACUUUCAACAACGGAUCUCUUGGUUCUGGCAUCGAUGAAGAACGCAGCAAAAUGCGAUAAGUAAUGUGAAUUGCAGAAUUCAGUGAAUCAUCGAAUCUUUGAACGCACAUUGCGCCCGCCAGUAUUCUGGCGGGCAUGCCUGUUCGAGCGUCAUUUCAACCCUCAAGCCCCCGGGUUUGGUGUUGGGGAUCGGCGAGCCCUUGCGGCAAGCCGGCCCCGAAAUCUAGUGGCGGUCUCGCUGCAGCCUCCAUUGCGUAGUAGCUAACACCUCGCAACUGGAACGCGGCGCGGCCAAGCCGUUAAACCCCCAACUUCUGAAUGUUGACCUCGGAUCAGGUAGGAAUACCCGCUGAACUUAAGCAUAUCAAUAAG
RNAcentral lists this ribosomal RNA (588 nucleotides) under uncultured fungus. Its description in RNAcentral is "eukaryotic LSU rRNA". The stretch from base 216 to 369 matches the Rfam family "5.8S ribosomal RNA". The record is from RNAcentral. Lineage: Eukaryota; Fungi.